GACGAACGCUGGCGGCGUGCUUAACACAUGCAAGUCGAACGGAAAGGCCCUGCUUUUGUGGGGUGCUCGAGUGGCGAACGGGUGAGUAACACGUGAGUAACCUGCCCUUGACUUUGGGAUAACUUUAGGAAACUGGGGCUAAUACCGGAUAGGAGCUCCUGCUGCAUGGUGGGGGUUGGAAAGUUUCGGCGGUUGGGGAUGGAUUCGCGGCUUAUCAGCUUGUUGGUGGGGUAGUGGCUUACCAAGGCUUUGACGGGUAGCCGGCCUGAGAGGGUGACCGGCCACAUUGGGACUGAGAUACGGCCCAGACUCCUACGGGAGGCAGCAGUGGGGAAUAUUGCACAAUGGGCGGAAGCCUGAUGCAGCAACGCCGCGUGCGGGAUGACGGCCUUCGGGUUGUAAACCGCUUUCGCCUGUGACGAAGCGUGAGUGACGGUAAUGGGUAAAGAAGCACCGGCUAACUACGUG
This 468-nucleotide ribosomal RNA is filed under the name uncultured bacterium. Its description in RNAcentral is "partial 16S ribosomal RNA". It matches the Rfam family "Bacterial small subunit ribosomal RNA", at positions 28 to 507 of the family's 1533-position model. The record is from RNAcentral.